GGUUCCAUGGUGUAAUGGUGAGCACUCUGGACUCUGAAUCCAGUGGAAUCU
Molecule: transfer RNA, 51 nt
Filed under: Fukomys damarensis (Damara mole-rat)
Lineage: Eukaryota; Metazoa; Chordata; Mammalia; Rodentia; Bathyergidae
Source: Rfam by way of RNAcentral